UGGGGAAUCUUCCGCAAUGGACGAAAGUCUGACGGAGCAACGCCGCGUGUAUGAUGAAGGUCUUCGGAUUGUAAAGUACUGUCAUUGGGGAAGAACGGUUUUCUUGAAAAGAUUGAGAAGACAUGACGGUACCCAAGGAGGAAGCCCCGGCUAACUACGUGCCAGCAGCCGCGGUAAUACGUAGGGGGCAAGCGUUGUCCGGAAUUAUUGGGCGUAAAGGGCGCGUAGGCGGGCCUUUAAGUCCGGUGUGAAAGAUCAGGGCUCAACCCUGAGAGUGCAUCGGAAACUGGAGGCCUUGAGGACAGGAGAGGAAAGUGGAAUUCCACGUGUAGCGGUGAAAUGCGUAGAUAUGUGGAGGAACACCAGUGGCGAAGGCGACUUUCUGGACUGUAACUGACGCUGAGGCGCGAAAGCGUGGGGAGCAAACAGGAUUAGGAUACCCUGGUAGUCCACGCCGUAAACGAUGAGUGCUAGGUGUAGAGGGUAUCGACCCCUUCUGUGCCGCAGUUAACACAAUAAGCACUCCGCCUGGGGAGUACGGCCGCAAGGUUGAAACUCAAAUGAAUUGACGGGGUCAUAGCUGUUUCCU
Molecule: ribosomal RNA, 589 nt
Filed under: uncultured bacterium
Lineage: Bacteria
Description: partial 16S ribosomal RNA
Rfam family: Bacterial small subunit ribosomal RNA
Source: RNAcentral